ACGCGAAGAACCUUACCAGGUCUUGACAUCUUGCGCCAACCCUAGAGAUAGGGCGUUUCCUUCGGGAACGCAAUGACAGGUGGUGCAUGGUCGUCGUCAGCUCGUGUCGUGAGAUGUUGGGUUAAGUCCCGCAACGAGCGCAACCCUUGUUACUAGUUGCCAGCAUUCAGUUGGGCACUCUAGUGAGACUGCCGGUGACAAACCGGAGGAAGGUGGGGACGACGUCAGAUCAUCAUGCCCCUUAUGACCUGGGCUACACACGUGCUACAAUGGACGGUACAACGAGUCGCGAACUCGCGAGGGCAAGCUAAUCUCUUAAAACCGUUCUCAGUUCGGACUGCAGGCUGCAACUCGCCUGCACGAAGUCGGAAUCGCUAGU
RNAcentral lists this ribosomal RNA (379 nucleotides) under bacterium enrichment culture DGGE gel band MRS8. RNAcentral describes it as "bacterial SSU rRNA". It matches the Rfam family "Bacterial small subunit ribosomal RNA", at positions 959 to 1339 of the family's 1533-position model. The record is from RNAcentral.